AUAGGGUCUAGACCUGGCAUAUCUUCAUAGGACCAUGCAAAAAUAUCCGGAUAUUCCCGGAGGAGUUGGAUGAUCUUCUGUUUAACCCCUUCCUCUAGAGUAGCACCAAUCUUGAUUUCUCGCUUGUUUUCCUCGGUACCUAUGUUGAUAAGCUCAAUCUCUUCCUGG
Medicago truncatula (barrel medic) is the source of this 168-nucleotide microRNA precursor. It matches the Rfam family "MIR2680 microRNA precursor family". The record is from Rfam. NCBI's taxonomy places the organism in Eukaryota, Viridiplantae, Streptophyta, Magnoliopsida, Fabales, Fabaceae.